CCGUCACACCAUGGGAGUGGAUUGCAAAAGAAGUAUGUAGCUUAACCUUCGGGAGGGCGCUUACCACUUUGUGAUUCAUGACUGGGGUGAAGUCGUAACAAGGUAACCGUAGGGGAACCUGCGGUUGGAUCACCUCCUUA
RNAcentral lists this ribosomal RNA (140 nucleotides) under Klebsiella pneumoniae. Its description in RNAcentral is "partial 16S ribosomal RNA". It matches the Rfam family "Bacterial small subunit ribosomal RNA", at positions 1394 to 1533 of the family's 1533-position model. The record is from RNAcentral. Lineage: Bacteria; Pseudomonadati; Pseudomonadota; Gammaproteobacteria; Enterobacterales; Enterobacteriaceae.